GACGAACCGAGCGAACGUUAUUCGGAAUCACUGGGCUUAAAGGGCGCGUAGGCGGGCGGUCAAGUCCGGGGUGGAAGCCCCCAGCUCAACUGGGGAAGUGCCUCGGAUACUGGUCGCCUCGAGGGAGAUAGGGGCGUGCGGAACUUCCGGUGGAGCGGUGAAAUGCGUAGAUAUCGGAAGGAACACCGGUGGCGAAAGCGGCGCGCUGGAUCUCUUCUGACGCUGAGGCGCGAAAGCCAGGGGAGCGAACGGG
RNAcentral lists this ribosomal RNA (253 nucleotides) under uncultured bacterium. RNAcentral describes it as "partial 16S ribosomal RNA". It matches the Rfam family "Bacterial small subunit ribosomal RNA", at positions 524 to 776 of the family's 1533-position model. The record is from RNAcentral.